AUCCAGCUGAGGAGUCUCAAAAUAGGACGAAACACGCGUCCUGAAU
This 46-nucleotide non-coding RNA is filed under the name Schistosoma margrebowiei. The record is from RNAcentral. Lineage: Eukaryota; Metazoa; Platyhelminthes; Trematoda; Strigeidida; Schistosomatidae.